This 418-nucleotide long non-coding RNA is filed under the name Gallus gallus (chicken). The record is from RNAcentral. Lineage: Eukaryota; Metazoa; Chordata; Aves; Galliformes; Phasianidae.
GCUGAAGGGAGGAAAAGAGUGAUUAAAAAGAAUAGGAACGAUCUCUAGAUGACUGAAUGAAAUUCUAUCUUUUUUUUUUUUUUUUUUUUGCUUCUGGGCCAGUCGGUGAGGUUAGAGAAAUAAUUAUCCUUGUCGGUGGCUGUGUAUAUCAACCCAGUGAGGAGGCUGAGAUCUGUAAGAAAAGAAGUGGUCAAGUUUUCAUCUAGUCUGAUGUCCUGUGUAUUAUGGGGUUACACAAAGAGCUUCCUACAAGGAAACCCUCCUCUCCACUGCCAAGGGCUUCAAAUACCUUUGGAAGAUGAAAGACUUCAUAGGUAGAUCACACCUUGAUGACUGAGUAUUUCAAUCUAAUUCAUCUGGUGAACUACUGAAAAAUUAAAUUGUCUUGUGUCUGUGUUUCUAUGUGAGAUGAAGACGC